GGAUUAGUAGGUUGGUCAUGCCUCUGGUAUGUACUGGUCUCACUGAUUCCUCCCUCUUGACGAACUGUAAUGUCAUUAAUUUGGUGUUGCAGGAAAUCAGGACUGUUACUUUGAAAAAAUUAGAGUGUUUAAAGCAGGCUAAGGCUUGAAUACAUUAGCAUGGAAUAAUGAAAUAGGACGUUUGAUCCUAUUUUGUUGGUUUCUAGGAUUGACGUAAUGAUUAAUAGGGAUAGUUGGGGGCAUUAGUAUUCAAUUGUCAGAGGUGAAAUUCUUGGAUUUAUUGAAGACUAACUACUGCGAAAGCAUUUGCCAAGGAUGUUUUCAUUAAUCAAGAACGAAAGUUAGGGGAUCGAAGACGAUCAGAUACCGUCGUAGUCUUAACCAUAAACUAUGCCGACUAGGGAUCGGAUGAUGUUAAUUUUUUAAUGACUCAUUCGGCGCCUUACGGGAAACCAAAGUGUUUGGGUUCCGGGGGGAGUAUGGUCGCAAGGCUGAAACUUAAAGGAAUUGACGGAAGGGCACCACCAGGGGUGGAGCCUGCGGCUUAAUUUGACUCAACACGGGGAAACUCACCAGGUCCAGACAUAGUAAGGAUUGACAGAUUGAGAGC
Molecule: ribosomal RNA, 610 nt
Filed under: Glomus sp. ZJ
Lineage: Eukaryota; Fungi; Glomeromycota; Glomeromycetes; Glomerales; Glomeraceae
Description: SSU rRNA
Rfam family: Eukaryotic small subunit ribosomal RNA
Source: RNAcentral